This 390-nucleotide transfer-messenger RNA is filed under the name Chlamydiota bacterium. RNAcentral's name for it is "Chlamydiae bacterium (freshwater metagenome) transfer-messenger RNA". It matches the Rfam family "transfer-messenger RNA". From Rfam's summary of the family: Bacterial tmRNA, also known as 10Sa RNA or SsrA, is named for its dual tRNA and mRNA-like properties. Its role is to liberate the mRNA from a stalled ribosome. To accomplish this part of the tmRNA is used as a reading frame that ends in a translation stop signal. Lineage: Bacteria; Pseudomonadati; Chlamydiota. The record is from RNAcentral.
GGGGGCGUACUGGUUUCGACUUGGUAGUCGAGGUUCAGGUGGCAUGCAGAGGACGUCGGUUGGCCUCUUUAAUCAUUCCGGCACGCAGAUAACUGCAAAAGAAAACGAUGAAGCAGAAAUGCUUCUCGCCGCUUAAUACCUAACAGUAGUAAGUAGCCGAUCUCCUUAGGUUGGACCAAGGAUUUAAGAUGAGAUCGUUAUAAUCUUGGUACGGACACCACAGUUUCAUCCUGUGGGUGGUGUUCAAGAUGCACAGGGUCGCUUUUUUUUGUUUUAGGUUGCUCAGGUUCCGCCGGCAAAAAUAAAGCGUAAAAUUACAACUUGAGCUAAGCAUGUAGUCAUUUGGGGUGAAGCUAUUGAGCACGAGAGUUCGAUUCUCUCCGCCUCCAA